UUUUUAGCAUAAAUAUGUUCCAUGCAAUAUUUGGGACAUAACUUAUACUAAAA
RNAcentral lists this microRNA precursor (53 nucleotides) under Cercocebus atys (sooty mangabey). RNAcentral's name for it is "mir-1302 microRNA precursor family". It matches the Rfam family "mir-1302 microRNA precursor family". RNAcentral also lists the same sequence under 4 other names. Lineage: Eukaryota; Metazoa; Chordata; Mammalia; Primates; Cercopithecidae. The record is from Rfam by way of RNAcentral.